UACGUAGGGUGCAAGCGUUGUCCGGAAUUAUUGGGCGUAAAGAGCUCGUAGGCGGUCUGUCGCGUCGGCUGUGAAAUCCCGAGGCUCAACCUCGGGUCUGCAGUCGAUACGGGCAAACUGGAGUGUUGCAGGGGAGACUGGAAUUCCUGGUGUAGCGGUGAAAUGCGCAGAUAUCAGGAGGAACACCGGUGGCGAAGGCGGGUCUCUGGGCAACAACUGACGCUGAGGAGCGAAAGCGUGGGGAGCGAACAGU
RNAcentral lists this ribosomal RNA (253 nucleotides) under uncultured bacterium. RNAcentral describes it as "partial 16S ribosomal RNA". It matches the Rfam family "Bacterial small subunit ribosomal RNA", at positions 524 to 776 of the family's 1533-position model. The record is from RNAcentral.